This 1339-nucleotide unclassified non-coding RNA is filed under the name Ganoderma sp. UH-F. Its description in RNAcentral is "sequence contains 18S rRNA gene, ITS1, 5.8S rRNA gene, ITS2 and 28S rRNA gene". The stretch from base 210 to 363 matches the Rfam family "5.8S ribosomal RNA". Lineage: Eukaryota; Fungi; Basidiomycota; Agaricomycetes; Polyporales; Polyporaceae. The record is from RNAcentral. RNAcentral also lists the same sequence under 1 other name.
GAAGCGGAGUUGACUGGGGUUGUAGCUGGCCUUCCGAAGGCAUGUGCACGCCCUGCUCAUCCACUCUACACCUGUGCACUUACUGUGGGUUUUACGGGUCGUGAAAUUGGCUCGUUCAUUCGGGCUCGUUGAGCGCACUUGUUGCCUGCGUUUAUCACAAACUCUAUAAAGUAUUAGAAUGUGUAUUGCGAUGUAACGCAUCUAUAUACAACUUUCAGCAACGGAUCUCUUGGCUCUCGCAUCGAUGAAGAACGCAGCGAAAUGCGAUAAGUAAUGUGAAUUGCAGAAUUCAGUGAAUCAUCGAAUCUUUGAACGCACCUUGCGCUCCUUGGUAUUCCGAGGAGCAUGCCUGUUUGAGUGUCAUGAAAUCUUCAAUCUACAAGCUUCUUAUGGGAGUUUGUAGGCUUGGACUUGGAGGCUUGUCGGUCCUUUACAGGUCGGCUCCUCUCAAAUGCAUUAGCUUGGUUCCUUGCGGAUCGGCUUGUCGGUGUGAUAAUGUCUACGCCGCGACCGUGAAGCGUGUUUGGGCGAGCUUCUAACCGUCUCGUUACGGAGACAACUUUAUGACCUCUGACCUCAAAUCAGGUAGGACUACCCGCUGAACUUAAGCAUAUCAUAACCCCGAGAAAAAAGAAAAUUAUGGAGUUUUGACGGGGUGGUAGCUGGCCUUCCGAGGCAUGUGCACGCCCUGCUCACCACUCUACACCUGUGCACUUACUGUGGGGUUUUACGGGGUCGUGAAAAUGGGGCUCGGUUCAUUCGGGCUCGGUUGAGCGCAUUGGUUGCCGGCGUUUAUUCAAACUCUAUAAAGGUAUUAGAAAUGUGUAUUUGCGGAUGUAACGCAACCUAUAUACAACUUUUCAGCAACGGAAUCUUUGGGCCUGCAUCCAUUAAAAAAAGCACCGAAAUGCGAUAAGUUAAUGGUGAAAUUGCAGAAAUUCAGUGGAAUCAUCGAAAUCUUUUGAAAGCCUUGGCCUCUUGGGUAUUUCCAAGGAAGCAUGCCUGUUUUGAAGUGUCAAGGAAAAUCUUUCAAUCUAAAAGCUUCUUAAUGGGGAAGUUUUGUUAGGCCUUGGAACUUUGGAAAGGCUUUGUUCGGGUCCUUUUUACGGGGUCGGGCUUCCCCCCAAAAGGCAAUUAAACUUGGGUUUUCCUUUGCGGAAAGGCCCUGGUUCCGUUGGUGGAAAAAAAUGUUCUUACCCCCCCUCUAAAACGAGGUUUUUUUGGCGGGAAGCCUAUUCACCCUUCCUUUUUUGGGGAAAAAACCUUUUUUUUUGGCCCCCCUCCCCCCCCCGGAAGAGGGGAAAGCCCCGCAUCCCUUUAUUCCCCUAAAUAAUAUAAA